Molecule: long non-coding RNA, 688 nt
Organism: Saccostrea cuccullata (small rock oyster)
Lineage: Eukaryota; Metazoa; Mollusca; Bivalvia; Ostreida; Ostreidae
Exons: 6
Source: RefSeq, a predicted model, not a curated record
GCCUAGAUACACAGAGGCAGCCUACAAAUUUGCUAUAGAGAGCAGCGGAAGUAAUUUAGGUGUUCUUCCACUUGACAAGUAUCGCCUGUUCCUGUCUUCAAGUGUACCAAAACGGGGGAAUCAUAUCAAUGCCAUUACACUUCCUUCCUACACCAAGAACAAGGCUUUUAUAAUAACACCCUAUCCCGCGAUAGAGGGCGUGCCAACUUUUUGCGCCUGCUCACUGACUACGAAUCAGAUGAAGUCAUUUGUAUGGAUCCCCUAACGAAAGUUGAAUCAACAAAGAUGUGGCUACCAGCUGCAAACAGUAAAAAAUCCAUACUUCCAUUCACGGUAAAUUUUGGAGAAGAGCAAGUCACAGAUAUCAAAUUUACAACAAUCAACAUUAUCCAAGAAGGGGCAAAUGACGAGUGAUGUUCCGUUUCGGUUAUAGAACCAAAAGGAAGCUUGAAAAUAGCAGAAAACUCACAGGCGACAAUGCAUAUGUUACAUUUGGUUUCAUCUGCACUUCAAAGUAAAACUGAAGGUCCCAUUACAGUAGCCAGCAAUGACGGAGCAGUUCUAUGUGGUGUAUUUUGUGUUGUGUUUAACACACUUCAACAGUUGUCUAUGGACAGAGAGGUGGACAUUUUCACUGCUGUCCGUCAGAUACAGAUCAGACGACCGGAACUCUGCUUGUCUCUGGCAA